Molecule: ribosomal RNA, 460 nt
Filed under: uncultured bacterium
Lineage: Bacteria
Description: partial 16S ribosomal RNA
Rfam family: Bacterial small subunit ribosomal RNA
Source: RNAcentral
CCUACGGGAGGCAGCAGUGAGGAAUAUUGGUCAAUGGGCUUACGCCUGAACCAGCCAAGUCGCGUGAGGGAAGAAUGCCCUAUGGGUUGUAAACCUCUUUUGUCAGGGAGCAAUUGGCGCUACGUGUAGCGUUAUCGAGAGUACCUGAAGAAAAAGCAUCGGCUAACUCCGUGCCAGCAGCCGCGGUAAUACGGAGGAUGCGAGCGUUAUCUGGAUUUAUUGGGUUUAAAGGGUGCGUAGGCGGAAUGCCAAGUCAGCGGUAAAAUCGCGGGGCUCAACCUCGCUCCGCCGUUGAAACUGGCGUGCUUGAGUGGGCGAGAAGUAUGCGGAAUGCGUGGUGUAGCGGUGAAAUGCAUAGAUAUCACGCAGAACUCCGAUUGCGAAGGCAGCAUACCGGCGCCCAACUGACGCUGAAGCACGAAAGCGUGGGUAUCGAACAGGAUUAGAUACCCCUGUAGUC